Molecule: ribosomal RNA, 301 nt
Filed under: uncultured bacterium
Lineage: Bacteria
Description: partial 16S ribosomal RNA
Rfam family: Bacterial small subunit ribosomal RNA
Source: RNAcentral
CAGUCGCCGCGGUAAUACGUAGGUCCCGAGCGUUGUCCGGAUUUAUUGGGCGUAAAGCGAGCGCAGGCGGUCAAUUAAGCCUGAUGUGAAAGCCCCCGGCUCAACCGGGGAGGGUCAUUGGAAACUGGUUGACUUGAGUGCAGAAGAGGAGAGUGGAAUUCCAUGUGUAGCGGUGAAAUGCGUAGAGAUCGGGAGGAACACCAGAGGCGAAGGCGGCGACCUGGACAAGUACUGACACUCAACUACGAAAGCGUGGGGAGCAAACAGGAUUAGAUACCCCCGUAGUCCCUGUCUCUUAUAC